UACGUAGGGACCAAGCGUUUGUUCGGAUUUACUGGGCGUAAAGGGCGCGUAGGCGGCAAUUCAAGUCAGUUGUGAAAUCUCCGAGCUUAACUCGGAACGGUCAACUGAUACUGCUUUGCUAGAGUACAGAAGGGGCAAUCGGAAUUCUUGGUGUAGCGGUGAAAUGCGUAGAUAUCAAGAGGAACACCUGAGGUGAAGACGGGUUGCUGGGCUGAUACUGACGCUGAGGCGCGAAAGCGUGGGGAGCGAACAGG
This 254-nucleotide ribosomal RNA is filed under the name uncultured bacterium. Its description in RNAcentral is "partial 16S ribosomal RNA". It matches the Rfam family "Bacterial small subunit ribosomal RNA", at positions 524 to 776 of the family's 1533-position model. The record is from RNAcentral.